GCAUAAAUAUUCCAAGGGUAGAUUGGAGCCUUGCAAGCCUAAAAUCCGGGUUCGAGCCCCGGUUGAUGCA
RNAcentral lists this transfer RNA (70 nucleotides) under Gregarina niphandrodes. It matches the Rfam family "tRNA". From Rfam's summary of the family: Transfer RNA (tRNA) molecules are approximately 80 nucleotides in length. Their secondary structure includes four short double-helical elements and three loops (D, anti-codon, and T loops). The record is from Rfam by way of RNAcentral. Lineage: Eukaryota; Apicomplexa; Conoidasida; Eugregarinorida; Gregarinidae.